RNAcentral lists this long non-coding RNA (3833 nucleotides) under Ornithorhynchus anatinus (platypus). RNAcentral describes it as "lncRNA (ENSOANG00000042463.1)". Lineage: Eukaryota; Metazoa; Chordata; Mammalia; Monotremata; Ornithorhynchidae. The record is from RNAcentral.
ACUUCAUCCACCUUUGAGAGGAGAGAAAAAAGGCGGGCCUUUCUCUCUCGCUUCUCUCUCUACAAGGCCAAGACUGAUGGGGCGCCUGAGUGGGACGCCCGACUCGGGACCAUUCCGGAACAAAACGGGAGCUGAUGGGAUCUCCCCCAUUGUGACCCAAGCGUGUUCAUGCCCUCUCCGAAAUGGGACUGGUUUGGUGCGGGAGGAUGGGCAGGGACGGGGGAGGUGAUGACCGGCAGAGGAGGCCUGGGCAAGGGAGAGGAGAUUCCAGCCAAUUGCCGGUGAAUGACAGCACAGAAGAAAUCUACAAAGCACUCUUUCACAGUCUCCCACCGUGCCCGAGCCCAGGCAGAUCUCAGAGACCAAGUUCUUCACAAACCAACCUGUGUUACAAGAGCGGGAGCCAGAAACCUCCCUGUCCUCUCUCUCCUUCAGGAUUUGGAUUUGAGGAGGAACCGGAGCUCUGAGGAUAAUCCCAAGUAAGGGGGGCUUGGGAAGAAAUGGUAGGAGCAACCCCUCCAAUGUAAGAACAAGAAGGUAGGGAGGAAUGGCAGAAGUAGAGUAGGGAAGAGACGGGGAUCAUAUUGCAGUAGAGAUUGGCUUGUGAAAAGUAAGAGUAGGUGGAGAAAUGAAGGGUCCAGGGUCAUCUUCCAUGUCAACUUUGACCCUGGCAGUGCCCUCGAAGAAUCUCGACCAGAUCUUGAAGUAAGUCUUAGCCUCCGGUGUUUCCCCCUCCUCUUUUUUAAUGGUAUUUAUUAAGCGCUUGCUAUGAGUGGAGUACUGUUCUAAGCGCUGGGAUAGAUACAAAUUAAUCGGUGGGACACAUUCCCUAUCCCCCAUGGGGUUCACGAUCUCAGUAGGAGGGAGAAACAGGAUUGAAUCCCCAUCCACAGAUUCAAUCCCCAUUUUGCAGAUGGGGAAACUGAUGUACAGUGUAGUUAGGUAAAUCGCCCAAGGCCACCCAGUAAGCGAGUGGCAGAACUGGGAUUAGAACCCAGGUUCCUCUGACUCCCAGGCCUGUGAUUUUUCCACUAUUCCAUGCUGCUCCCCUAAAGCUAUAAGCCCUUAGAUGGAAAAUCUAAUUUAUUUUUUAAUGGCAUUUGUUAAGUGUUUACUCUGGGCCAGGCACUGUACUUAAGAGCUACGUACAAGCUAAUCAGGUUGGACACAGUCCACAUUCCAUAGGGGGCUCACAAUUUUAAUCCCCAUUUUACAGUCUAGGUAACUGAGGCAUAGAGAAGUGAAGUGACUUGCUCAAAGUCACACAGCAAGCUGGGAUUAGAACCCAGGUCCUUCUGACUCCCGGGCCCAUGCGCUUUCCACUAACCCAGACUGCUUCUCAAUCUGCUCCAGAAUUGAGCAGUCUUUCAGGCUGUCUGUUCUGCCCCAUGUCUAGGUUUAGUUGCCCUCAAAACCCUCCCUAAGUGACAAGGAAGCCUCCACUCUGCCCCAUACUUCAAGAUCCUUUCAGGGGUUCCAAACGGAGGAAGCAGCAUGGCUUGGUGGAUAGAGAACAGGUUUAGAAAUCAGAAGGUCAUGGGUUCUAAUUCCAGCUCCACCACUUAUCUGCUGUGAGACCUCAGGCAAGUCGCUUCUCUGGGCCUCAGUUAGCUCAUCUGUAAAAUGGGGAUUAAGACUGGGAGCCUCAUGUGGGACAGGGACUGUGUCCCACCUAAUUAUCUUGUAUCUAUCCCAGCGCUUAGAACAGUGUUUGGCUCAUAGUAGGCCCUUAACAAGUACCAUAAUUAUUCUCUUCUUGUCCCCGAAGCCUCUGGGGCCAUUUGAGCCGCUCCGGGAUUGGGUAGCCUGGACCAUCUGGACCUUGGGACGGCCGGGCUGGGAUCCCCCCGACACUAACAUGAGUCCUCCCCUGGGCCGCAGGGACCCCGACCAGCCAGGGGUCUUUCAGGAAGCCCGGCCCGGGAGGCCUGCUCUUCUCUCACUGGUCGGCGCUUCCCAGCCGUCCCCGACUUUCUUCAAGGAAGCCAGUUGAAGGAAGCUGCCAACACAUAAUAAUAAUGGUGCAAUUUGUUAAAUACUUACCCCGUGGCACUGUAGUGAGCACUGGGGUAGAUACAAGAUAAUCAGGUUGAACACAAUCCAAGUCCCUCAAGGGGAUCACACAGCUUUAAUCCCCCUUUUACAGAUGAGGUAACUGAGGGCAGACAAGUGAAGCGACUUGCCCAAGGUCACACCGUAGACAAGUGGUGGAGACAGGAUUAGAACCCAGGUCCUCUGACUCCCAGGCCCGUGCUCUUUCACACAACUUUGGUCCCUCCAUGCCCUCUCAGACCCUCCUCAGUGGGAUUCCACUGGGGCUAGGGGCCAAGAGGACCUGAAUCUCUGAAUCCUGAACCCUGAACCCUUUUCUUCCUCCCGUACCUCUUGCUCCUUUCCCUUGGCACUCCCCUUCUCCGGCCCCUCCCUGCCUCCCUGCCCAGGCCCACGGACAGGACACCGGCUCCCGGACACUGCCGCUAUUCAACAGAAGCCUCCAGGGUUGCGGUCACACCUUGGGCAGUUCGUUUCUCUGGGGCUCAAGGGCCGCCCCUAUUCUACAGCAAAGUCAAUCCAAACCAGGGCCCCUCGAUUCCUAGAAAUGAGGCCGAAUGGCUGAUUUUUAAAAGUUGGCUCUCAGUACCUUUAUGGCCACAAGGGGACAGGAGGGUUUAAUUUAUUCCACACACAAUAUCUCUGCCCUGCUCUUGCCCGAACAGCUCUCUGCCAAAAAGAGGCGGGUGGUAUUUCGAAGGCCUCGGCCGGGCCUCUAGGACUGGGCAGGGCUCUCUCUGGGCCAACGGAUUUGCUGCCUGAUAGAGGGAGGUUUGUGGACUCUCGUCCGGACCCACGAUCUGGUGGUCCGGGGUGCGAUCCCGGUUGUCAGUCCCACCCACCACCAUUAUCAGAACUCCAGUCUCGGCCCUGGUGGUCCGAACAGAGGGGGCAACCGAACUGUUGGGCUUGACCCUUGGGAGCUUCUCAGUGUGGAAGUUCCCCCUGGACUGUAAGCUCCUUGUGGACAGGGAACGUGCCUACCAACCCAAGCCCUCCUCUCCUCUUCUCCCACUCCCUUUUGUGCCGCUCUUACAUCCCCCCUUCAUUAUUUCAUCCUUCAUUCACCCCCCCUCCCAUCCCCACAGGACAGAUGUAUAUACCUGUAUAAAUCCGUAAUUUAUCUACCUAUUUCUUUAUCUAUUUAUAUUAAUAUCUGCUCCCCCUCUAGACUGUGAGCUCACUGUAGGCAGGAAUAUGUCUGUUUGUUAUUGUAUUGUACUCAGCCAAGCUCUUAGUACACAGCUAGCACUCAAUAAAUACAAUGGAAUGAAAUGAAUGAGUAUAUUGCCCUCAGUUCACAGUAAGUGCUCAAUAAAUACGAUAGAUUGAUUGGAAGUUCCAGCCCGGUUUGAUUCACCUGUCCCAUAAUUCCGCAGCACUUGGAAACGCUUCUAUAUUGUGGGCUUACUGUCCUCCUAGACAUUCAUCCUUACGGGUAAUAAUGAUACGAAGAAUAACGGUACUUGUUAAGUGCUUACUAUGUUCCAAGCACUAAGGUAGACACAACUUAAUCAGUUUGGACACAGUCCCUGUCCUGCAUGGGGCUCACAUUCCUAAUCUCCAUUUUCCAGAUGAGAGAACUGAGGCCCAGGGAGUGACUCGCCCGGGGUCACACAGCAGACUUGUGGCAGAGCUGCGAUUAGAAUCCAGGUCCUUCUGACUCCCAGGCCCGUGCUCUUUCCACUAAGCCAUGUUGCUUCUCCGCUCUCCCUAACUUUCCCCUCUCCAUGACUAACUUUCCCUCUGGUAACUCACUAGAGACUGGGUAAGAGCUGACG